GACGAACGCUGGCGGCGUGCUUAACACAUGCAAGUCGAACGGAAAGGCCCUGCUUUUGUGGGGUGCUCGAGUGGCGAACGGGUGAGUAACACGUGAGUAACCUGCCCUUGACUUUGGGAUAACUUCAGGAAACUGGGGCUAAUACCGGAUAGGAGCUCCUGCUGCAUGGUGGGGGUUGGAAAGUUUCGGCGGUUGGGGAUGGACUCGCGGCUUAUCAGCUUGUUGGUGGGGUAGUGGCUUACCAAGGCUUUGACGGGUAGCCGGCCUGAGAGGGUGACCGGCCACAUUGGGACUGAGAUACGGCCCAGACUCCUACGGGGGGCAGCAGUGGGGAAUAUUGCACAAUGGGCGGAAGCCUGAGGCAGCAACGCCGCGUGCGGGAUGACGGCCUUCGGGUUGUAAACCGCUUUCGCCUGUGACGAAGCGUGAGUGACGGUAAUGGGUAAAGAAGCACCGGCUAACUACGUG
This 468-nucleotide ribosomal RNA is filed under the name uncultured bacterium. Its description in RNAcentral is "partial 16S ribosomal RNA". It matches the Rfam family "Bacterial small subunit ribosomal RNA", at positions 28 to 507 of the family's 1533-position model. The record is from RNAcentral.